GACGAACGCUGGCGGCGUGCUUAACACAUGCCAGUCGAACGGAAAGGCCCCAGCUUGCUGGGGUACUCGAGUGGCGAACGGGUGAGUAACACGUGGGUGAUCUGCCCUGCACUCUGGGAUAAGCCUGGGAAACUGGGUCUAAUACCGGAUAGGACCGUGCCUUAGUGUGUGCGGUGGAAAGUUUUUCGGUGCAGGAUGAGCCCGCGGCCUAUCAGCUUGUUGGUGGGGUAAUGGCCUACCAAGGCGGCGACGGGUAGCCGGCCUGAGAGGGUGUACGGCCACAUUGGGACUGAGACACGGCCCAGACUCCUACGGGAGGCAGCAGUGGGGAAUAUUGCACAAUGGGCGCAAGCCUGAUGCAGCGACGCCGCGUGGGGGAUGACGGCCUUCGGGUUGUAAACCCCUUUCGGCAGGGACGAAGCUUUUGUGACGGUACCUGCAUAAGAAGCACCGGCUAACUACGUG
This 465-nucleotide ribosomal RNA is filed under the name uncultured bacterium. RNAcentral describes it as "partial 16S ribosomal RNA". It matches the Rfam family "Bacterial small subunit ribosomal RNA", at positions 28 to 507 of the family's 1533-position model. The record is from RNAcentral.